Molecule: small RNA, 157 nt
Filed under: Lactococcus garvieae
Lineage: Bacteria; Bacillati; Bacillota; Bacilli; Lactobacillales; Streptococcaceae
Description: Manganese sequence
Rfam family: Manganese Mn2+ riboswitch aptamer (yybP-ykoY) (bases 9-101)
About the family: This RNA was originally discovered in E. coli during a large scale screen and was named SraF.
Source: RNAcentral
UGAAUUCCCAAAGGGGAGUAGCGUCGGUGCAAACCGAAACAAAGUCGUCAUUCCGUGAGCAUUUAUCUCACCGGCUUUGUUGACAUGGAUAUGACAUGUUUAGCAAGACCUUUGCCAUUUUUUGGCAGGGGUCUUUUUAAUACGCUACAUACAGGAC